AGGACGAACGCUGGCGGCGUGCUUAACACAUGCAAGUCGAGGGGGCUCAGCAAUGGGUCACCGGCGAACGGGUGCGUAACACGUGAGCAACCUGCCGCAGAGUGGGGGAUAGCCGGCCCAACGGCCGGGUAAUACCGCAUACGAUCGUAUCGGGACAUCCCGUAACGAUGAAAGAUUUAUCGCUCUGUGAGGGGCUCGCGGCCUAUCAGCUAGUUGGCGAGGUAACGGCUCACCAAGGCGACGACGGGUAGCUGGUCUGAGAGGAUGGCCAGCCACAUUGGGACUGCGACACGGCCCCAGACCUCCUACGGGAGGCGAGCAGGUGGGGGAAUCUUGCGCAAGUGGCGAAAGCCUGACGCAGCGACGCCGCGUAGGGAGGAAGGUUUCGGACUCGGUAAACCCCUGGUUCGCCCGGUACGACUCCACCGAUUCAGUCGGUGUUGGACCGGUACCGGU
RNAcentral lists this ribosomal RNA (456 nucleotides) under uncultured soil bacterium. RNAcentral describes it as "bacterial SSU rRNA". It matches the Rfam family "Bacterial small subunit ribosomal RNA", at positions 26 to 482 of the family's 1533-position model. The record is from RNAcentral.